CGGUAAUAUAUUUAAAUCGGAAUAUCCACAUUCAAAAGUCAAACACGGUGUUUCUGAUGGUGGUCUUGGAUGUAUGGAAUUCAACACAGAAGACGAAAGCAUUUCUUGAGUGCCAUAGUUCCCAAAGAACUAAAAGAGUAACCAAAGGCUAUAUGUUUGGAUUUAGGCUAGGUGGCAAGUCAGAGUUAGGAAGAAGUCCUAGAUCGAUCCAAACUUGUGAAGUGUCCGGGCAAAGUAGAACUAGGUGAGAAGCGUCUUCACAUGGAGUGGCACAUCUAGGGAAAGUGGUUGUUGCGGCAAUGUUCUUAUGGUGCAUGUUGCCUCUUUUGUCCAACCUACCUUUAAAUAGUAGCCAACCAAUACUUUGAUGGGAACAGUCGAGGACCAGAUGAACACAUGGUUGAGGUCGAUAGUUGUGUCGUCAGUGAUGAGCCUAUCAGUAAUCCUCGGAGAGAAAUACAAUGCAUGCAUGAGAGAACCCUUGUAAGCUGGGUAAGAAGACUAGAAAUCCUGCAAGAGUGAAAGCACAACAGCCAAAUCGCAAGUGGCAGCAGUUGUAAGAUGGUCCCACAUGUUAGAUAAUAAGCCACAAUUCAACAUAGUAGCCACUAGAAUCUUGUCAUCUGUUGAGUGUGAAAAAAGGUGUGGGAAAGCUAUUUGAAGUGGUUUGUCGAGAUGCCAAGUGUCUAACCAAAAGAAAGUAGAGAGGCGAUCAUUCGUUAAGAUAAAAGUACAGUAAAAAUGGGUAGAGAGUUAUUUGUUGACCACUUUCCAAAGAUUAACUUGGUUUUAUGCUCUUUGAGCAAUGUUAUGGGAGUAGUUUGGGUGAUACCGGUGGAUCCAAGGUAGACCUGGGUUUUGUAGCAGUUUAAAGGCAAACAUCGUGAGGAGGCAGUUGUUCUCAAUGACAUGGUUUUUUAUGCCCAUACCACCAUUUAUCUUAGGUUUGCAAACACUGUUCCAAGCUAUAAGACAUUUAGAAUGAGUGCACGAGUCCUCAUUAGACUAGAAGAAAGCUGUCACUAGUGGAAAACGGGCCUUUGGCCGGGACCCUUUAGUCCCGGCCUGCCUCUGGGCCGGGACUAAAGGCCCGGCCACGUCGCCCGAAUUCUCAAUGCCUC
RNAcentral lists this long non-coding RNA (1121 nucleotides) under Hordeum vulgare. RNAcentral's name for it is "long non-coding RNA (HVUL_LNC017459)". Lineage: Eukaryota; Viridiplantae; Streptophyta; Magnoliopsida; Poales; Poaceae. The record is from RNAcentral.